RNAcentral lists this ribosomal RNA (1782 nucleotides) under Triticum aestivum (bread wheat). RNAcentral's name for it is "partial small subunit ribosomal RNA". Lineage: Eukaryota; Viridiplantae; Streptophyta; Magnoliopsida; Poales; Poaceae. The record is from RNAcentral.
AUGGCCAUGGCCGGGCUCCCUCUCGCCGCGUGCGUUGCCUUCUUCCACCUCUGCCUCCUCCUCUCGCCGUCGUCCUCUCUCCGGCUGCUGCCGGUAGCCCCCGACGCGGCGGGCGAGAGCACGGGACGCAAUGGCAGCAGGACCGCCUACCACUUCCAGCCCGCCAAGAACUGGAUGAACGAUCCGAAUGGUCCCAUGUACCACAACGGCCUGUACCACUUCUUCUACCAGUACAACCCCGACGGCGUGACGUGGGGCAACGGCAACCUCUCGUGGGGCCACUCCGUGUCCGUGGACCUGGUGAACUGGUUCGCGCUCGACGCCGCGCUCCAGCCCAGCCGCUCCUUCGACGCCAACGGCUGCUGGUCGGGCUCCGCCACCAUCCUCCCCGACGGCAGCCCCGUCAUGCUCUACACCGGCAUCGACGCGCGCGGCGACCAGGUCCAGAACGUCGCAUACCCCAAGAACGCCUCCGACCCGCUCCUCGUCGACUGGGUCAAGCCCGAGUACAACCCCGUCAUCCCCGUCCCCGCCGACAUCAAGCGCGACGACUUCCGCGACCCCUCCACGGCCUGGCUCGGCGCCGACGGCGUCUGGCGCAUCGCCGUCGCGGCCCGCGUACAUGACGUUGGGGGUGCCACGCUGAUUUACAGGAGCAAGGACUUCCUGCGAUGGGAGAGGAACGCUGACCCGCUUUACUUGGCCCACGCCGCCGGCAUGGUGGAGUGCCCCGACCUGUUCCCGGUGUCCGAGCCUGGGGUGGAGGUGGGGCUCCCGGCGAGCGGCGCCGGGGCGAGGCACGUGCUCAAGAUGAGCGUGAUGGACACCGUCCAGGACUACUACGUGGUCGGGCGGUACGACGACGCGGCGGACACCUUCGUGCCGGAGGACGACGAGGACUGCCGGAGCUGGCGCCGCCUCGACUACGGCCACGUGUACGCGUCCAAGUCCUUCUUCGACCCCAGCAAGAACCGGCGCGUGCUCUGGGGCUGGGCCAACGAGUCCGACAGCGUGUCCGACGAUCUCGUCAGGGGAUGGUCCGGUGUUCAGACUGUUCCGAGGAAGAUAUGGCUGGACGAGGACGGCAAGCAGCUGCGGCAGUGGCCGGUGGAGGAGAUCGAGACGCUGAGGAGCAAGCGGGUGAACCUGCUGAUACCGGAGGUGAACGCCGGCGGCGUGAACGAGAUCAUCGGCGUGAUGGGCGCGCAGGCGGACGUGGAGGUCGUGUUCGAGGUCCCGCCCCUGGAGCACGCCGACGUCCUGGAGCCCAACUGGCUGCUGGACCCGCAGAGCCUGUGCGGCGAGAAGGGCGCGUCCGUGCCGGGCAGCGUCGGCCCGUUCGGGCUGCUCGUCAUGGCCUCCGGCGACAUGCAGGAGCACACCGCCGUCUUCUUCAGGGUGUUCAGGCAGAACGACAAGUACAAGGUGCUCAUGUGCACCGACCUGUCAAGGUCGAGCACCAGGGACGGCGUGUACAAGCCGCCGUACGGGGCCUUCGUGGACAUGGACAUCGAGGCGCACGGCGGGAUCAUCUCCCUCAGAACGCUGGUUGACCACUCGGUGGUGGAGAGCUUCGGCGGCGGGGGCAGGGCGUGCAUCACGGCGAGGGUGUACCCGGACCACGUCGUGAACGGCAACAGCCACCUGUACGUGUUCAACAACGGCACCGGCGCCGUCAAGGUGUCCAGCCUCGACGCGUGGGAGAUGGCCACGGCGACCGUGAACGUGCUCCCCGACGGCCUGAUCGCGGCGAGCUCGGUGAGCAGGGCUCAAGCCUAUUAG